AGUGAACGCUGGCGGCAGGCCUAACACAUGCAAGUCGAGCGGCAGCGCGUCCGACCACCCUCGGGUGGUCGGAUGGCGGCGAGCGGCGGACGGGUGAGGAAUGCAUCGGAAUCUGCCUCGUUGUGGGGGAUAACGUAGGGAAACUUACGCUAAUACCGCAUACGACCUACGGGUGAAAGUGGGGGACCUUCGGGCCUCACGCGAUGAGAUGAGCCGAUGCCGGAUUAGCUAGUUGGUGAGGUAAAGGCUCACCAAGGCGACGAUCAGUAGCUGGUCUGAGAGGAUGACCAGCCACAUUGGGACUGAGACACGGCCCAGACUCCUACGGGAGGCAGCAGUCGGGAAUAUUGGACAAUGGGGGCAACCCUGAUCCAGCAAUACCGCGUGUGUGAAGAAGGCCUGCGGGUUGUAAAGCACUUUUAGUAGGGAAGAUAAUGACGUUACCUACAGAAAAAGCACCGGCUAACUCCGUGCCAGCAGCCGCGGUAAAG
This 491-nucleotide ribosomal RNA is filed under the name uncultured bacterium. RNAcentral's name for it is "bacterial SSU rRNA". It matches the Rfam family "Bacterial small subunit ribosomal RNA", at positions 29 to 525 of the family's 1533-position model. The record is from RNAcentral.